Molecule: ribosomal RNA, 429 nt
Filed under: Actinomycetes bacterium
Lineage: Bacteria; Bacillati; Actinomycetota; Actinomycetes
Description: Actinobacteria bacterium partial 16S ribosomal RNA
Rfam family: Bacterial small subunit ribosomal RNA
Source: RNAcentral
UAGGGAAUCUUCCGCAAUGGGCGAAACCCUGACGGAGCAACGCCGCGUGAGUGAUGAAGGUCUUCGGAUCGUAAAACUCUGUUAUUAGGGAAGAACAAAUGUGUAAGUAACUAUGCACGUCUUGACGGUACCUAAUCAGAAAGCCACGGCUAACUACGUGCCAGCAGCCGCGGUAAUACGUAGGUGGCAAGCGUUAUCCGGAAUUAUUGGGCGUAAAGCGCGCGUAGGCGGUUUUUUAAGUCUGAUGUGAAAGCCCACGGCUCAACCGUGGAGGGUCAUUGGAAACUGGAAAACUUGAGUGCAGAAGAGGAAAGUGGAAUUCCAUGUGUAGCGGUGAAAUGCGCAGAGAUAUGGAGGAACACCAGUGGCGAAGGCGACUUUCUGGUCUGUAACUGACGCUGAUGUGCGAAAGCGUGGGGAUCAAACAGG